Odocoileus virginianus texanus is the source of this 2466-nucleotide non-coding RNA. NCBI's taxonomy places the organism in Eukaryota, Metazoa, Chordata, Mammalia, Artiodactyla, Cervidae. The record is from RefSeq and is a predicted model, not a curated record.
UAACCCCGCGACGACUGUGGCGGCUGCGGAGGCAGCUUGGGGGAAGAUGGAAACGCUAAAAGACAAGACCCUGGAGGAGCUGGAGGAGAUGUAGAACGACCCGGAGGCCAUCGACGGACUGGUCCAGGACUCCCCGGAGGUCCAGGAUCUGCAGCUGGAGCGGGAGAUGGCGCUGGCCACCAACCGGAGCCUGGCCGAGCGGAACCUGGAGUUCAGGGUCCGCUGGAGAUCAGCCGCUCAAACCUCUCGGACAAGUACCAGGAGCUCCGGAAGCUGGUGGAGUGGUGCCAGGAGCAGAAGGCGAAGCUGGAGAAGUUCUCCUCAGCACUGCAGCUAGGGACCUUGUUGGACCUUCUGCAGAUUGAAAGCAUGAAGACUGAAGAAGAGUCCGAGGCCAUGGCUGAGAAGUUCCUGGAGGGCGAGGUGCCCCUGGACACGUUCCUGGAGAAUUUCUCCUCCAUGAGAACACUGUCACAUCUGCGCCGGGUUCGCGUGGAGAAGCUCCAGGAUGUGAUGAGAAAGCCCAGGGCCUCCCUGGAGCCAGCCGGGGACAUCCCACCUCCCCGCCCACCCCCGCCACUGCGCCCCGACCCCCAGGCGACGCCCCCGCCAGCCGAAGACGCUCAGCCACAGCCACCGCAGCCUUCAGUGGUCCCUCCCUACCCUUUGCCCUACAGCCCCUCUCCAGGCAUGCCCGUGGGCCCCACCGCCCAAGGAGCGCUCCAGCCGGCCCCCUUCCCCGUGGUGUCCCAGCCCUCGUUUUCCUACAGUGGGCCUCUGGGGCCCCCCUACCCCACAGCCCAGCCGGGAGCCAGAGCCCCUUCGGGCUACUCCUGGUCCCCACAGAGGAGCAUGCCGCCCCGGCCGGGCUAUCCCGUGGCCCCCACUGGUGCCUCUGGGCCUGCGUACCCCGUGAUGGGGGGCCAGGCCCCCAGUCCUGGUUAUCCGCAGCAGCCCCCCUACCUCUCCACAGGAGGAAAACCUCCGUACCCCACACAGCCCCAGCACUCAGGCCCCCUCCAGCCGCCCUACCCCCCCGGGCCCGCUCCUCCCUAUGGGUUCCCCCCUCCUCAGGGCCCCACCUGGCCUGGCUAUUAGGCAUAGUCCUGGCCCUCGGCCCUUGCCUGCUCCCACCUGUACCACAACCUUCAGCCCACCCCUUGCUGAGACUCGAGGCUAAUGGGAAGUGGAGUUGGCUGCCCACAGACUUGGGUCGCGCCCGGGAGCCUGAGGGGCCCCGCUGGGAGCGCACAGGCCUGGGAGGGCUGGCCGGCAGCGUGACUGGCUCGGCUGCACCGGUGGUCCCAAGGCCUGCGGGCCUCCCAGGGGAAGGAGCGCCUGGCUCCUGUGGCUGGCUCUCGCUUUCCUGGUGCACACCAAGCAGGGCGUUCAGUCCUUCCCGUGGGUGCCCACACCUGUGGACGUCUCCUCGUGACUGCACUCACUCACGGACUCAAGGACGCCCGAACCCAGUGAGGAGUUAUCUCAGCGAAGGGCUGGCUGGCCCCUGCUCACCCCCUCCCUCUUCUCUGGGAUUUAGCAAGUGCAACCACGGUGCCCACGCCAAGAGAGGCAGCUCUCUGUGUCUCUUGGUGCGUUCACACCGCACGCUCCAUGGCAGAGUUGGAUCAGGGGGAGAGAACAGAGUUAGGCAAAACAAAGAGUGAUUUUUACGUCACUCAUAAAGCCAUAACAGGACUCUGACAGACUGAUGUCAGGUCAGCUUGUCCUGUGUGCUGCCGUUUGAACAACAGCAGCAGUGCCCGUGCAGGGAGCAAGCCAAGGAUUGUGGAGGCGGAUCCCAGACCUUGCUGGCCCUGGUUGGAGAAUCCAGGAGCUGCCUUGGACCCUCUGGCUGGAGGAGCGGAGGCAGUUCUGGUCCAGAAGACUGUGGUCACAUCAGGGGCUCAUUUAGGAGCGGAAGGCCAGGUUGCCUCCCCGGCCACCUCUUGUCUGGGGUCUCCCUGCUUCUGGUUGACUUCUGUGGCUCACCCCCAUCCCGUCCACUCCUUUAGUGCCUUGAAUCUCAUCCACAGCAGCCCCCUCCCUUCCUUUGACUCUCUCCUGUAACUCUUCACAAGCCCCUAAAACCCUCCUAAGAGACAUCAAAAUAUGCCCUAACAGUUACUUCCCCUGUGGUGCUUUGUAAAACACCAUCACUAUGUCGGAGUCAUUUCUUUGCAUCUCUCUUAUCUUCAGAAUGUAAAGGGCAGAGACUGUGACUUUGAGCCACACACAGCCCCCACCACGCUGGGGGCUUUCAGCACCCAGUUCAGUAAUAAAAAUGACAAUAGACCAAAGGGGGUUGUGAUGAAUGGAGAAUUACCUUGGUUGUUACCAGAUGUGAACCAGGUCUCAAGGGCAGACUCUGGAGCUGCUAUCUGUUAGGAAGUCAUAUGUGCCUUGAAUUGUCCAUUACCCGAGUACCCAGCACCCGGUGGGCCUGGGGUGCUGGGGGCCAAAGAG